RNAcentral lists this ribosomal RNA (650 nucleotides) under Bacillus sp. (in: firmicutes). RNAcentral describes it as "bacterial SSU rRNA". It matches the Rfam family "Bacterial small subunit ribosomal RNA", at positions 72 to 705 of the family's 1533-position model. The record is from RNAcentral. Lineage: Bacteria; Bacillati; Bacillota; Bacilli; Caryophanales; Bacillaceae.
ACGGGAGCUUGCUCCCUUAGGUCAGCGGCGGACGGGUGAGUAACACGUGGGUAACCUGCCUGUAAGACUGGGAUAACUCCGGGAAACCGGGGCUAAUACCGGAUGCUUGAUUGAACCGCAUGGUUCAAUCAUAAAAGGUGGCUUUUAGCUACCACUUACAGAUGGACCCGCGGCGCAUUAGCUAGUUGGUGAGGUAACGGCUCACCAAGGCGACGAUGCGUAGCCGACCUGAGAGGGUGAUCGGCCACACUGGGACUGAGACACGGCCCAGACUCCUACGGGAGGCAGCAGUAGGGAAUCUUCCGCAAUGGACGAAAGUCUGACGGAGCAACGCCGCGUGAGUGAUGAAGGUUUUCGGAUCGUAAAACUCUGUUGUUAGGGAAGAACAAGUACCGUUCGAAUAGGGCGGCACCUUGACGGUACCUAACCAGAAAGCCACGGCUAACUACGUGCCAGCAGCCGCGGUAAUACGUAGGUGGCAAGCGUUGUCCGGAAUUAUUGGGCGUAAAGCGCGCGCAGGCGGUUUCUUAAGUCUGAUGUGAAAGCCCCCGGCUCAACCGGGGAGGGUCAUUGGAAACUGGGGAACUUGAGUGCAGAAGAGGAGAGUGGAAUUCCACGUGUAGCGGUGAAAUGCGUAGAGAUGUGGAGGA